GGAAAGUUAAAGAAAAGACAGCAGGGAAGAAGAUGACCUGGGUAACAGCUCUGCCAUUGGCAUUAAUGGCCAUAAGAUCUUCUCCUUCUAACACCACCCUUCUCAGCCCCCAUGAAUUAGUCACAGGACGUCCCAUGCAAGGACCAUACAGCCCACCAUCCAAAGGACCCCCAUCAGACAGGUUUGAUGAAGUAAUGCAGGAAUACCUGCAAGCACUAACUCAAGCUUCUUUAAAGUUGUAUUCCCAGAUCACAGACCAGAAGCCGUCCGAUCCAGAGGAUCCUUCACCAACGUCGGUGACACCUGGCGAGUGGAUCUGGGUGAAAAAACACCAUCGAAAGACCCUAGAAGACCGGUGGGAGGGGCCAUACAAGGUACUCUUGGCCACACCCUUUUCUGUUUCUGUAGAGGACCGACGCGGGGCCCAGUGGCACCACCUGAGCCGGUGCCGCAAAGCAGAUACUCCUGGCAGAUCGUGGACUGAGACCCUGACCGACCUAGCUGCACUCCAAGCCAAGGACAAACACUCCUCAUCCCAAGACGAUGGGCCACAGCGUGCCCUUGGGAAAGUACCUGGUAGGAUUCCUUCUGGCAGUCCUGUUCCAAGAAGGAGCGGGAGACAACAUCGCCAGGAUGGACCGGGUCUACCAGGCAGAAAAGUACAUGUGCGUAAGUACCAGACGAGACGGUAGCUACAUGAGAGGUUAUUCCUGCGAGGAGUGGUCACAGGCAUCGUGGCUUACCCAUCCUGGGUACAAAGAGGGCUAUUAUCCCCUGUGGUCCAGCUACAAGGAAAUCCAAAAGGGAAUCUCCCUUACCAGAAGAUUAUAUGGCUAUAAGGAAGUCUGGAGCAAUAAUGGUCUAGCAGUCAAGGGAGAGUCAAUAUUCAUAAAGUUAAGGGCAGAUUUACUCAUUCCCGAAAACAGAUCUCAUAAGACAGACAAAGGCCUGGUUUUUCUAAUGUUAAGGGCGGAUACUUAUGGGGAAGACCUAAAAGUAGUUAUCCAUCUAUCAGGAGUUGCAUGCGGGCCCAAUAAAUUUCCAUCUAGAGGGACGUAUGAUUCCUUAGGAGCGCCACAUCUCUCACCACCCCCGGUAGUGCACCCAAAUGGAGGGACGCACAAAGAAUAUUGGGAGGUAAAGACGGGUGAGCUUGAUCAGAACAUGUGGUUAAAAUGGAUGAACUACACGGCCCGGGCCCAGGGCAAGACCAACUGCAUUAUCUGUGCCGCCGGCCGCCCCUCCUUGACCACAGCCCCCGCUAGAAUCACCCCGCAUAAUUCACCGCAAGGUUUUGUUUGUCUAUUAGAAUUGUUCGUGGACGGCCACAUCCCAGGAUGCUCAAUUGCAAUAAAAUCCAGACUAAAUAACAUGUAUCCUCAGACCCCAAUUAGAUCUAUACCCCCAAGAUUUGAAGUUAAUUUAACUCCGGACUAUCAUUGUAUCACAGGAAGGGGAACAGGGAGAAAAGUGGG
Gadus morhua (Atlantic cod) is the source of this 1475-nucleotide long non-coding RNA. NCBI's taxonomy places the organism in Eukaryota, Metazoa, Chordata, Actinopteri, Gadiformes, Gadidae. The record is from Ensembl.